RNAcentral lists this ribosomal RNA (2006 nucleotides) under human gut metagenome. Its description in RNAcentral is "bacterial LSU rRNA". It matches the Rfam family "Bacterial large subunit ribosomal RNA", at positions 1 to 2002 of the family's 2925-position model. The record is from RNAcentral.
UUAAGAUACUAAGGGCAUACGGCGGAUGCCUUGGCGAUAUCUGCCGAAGAAGGACGCGACAAGCUGCGAAAAGCUGCGGAGAGGCGCAAAUAGCCAUUGAACCGCAGAUAUCCGAAUGGAGAAAUCCGGCAGGGCUCAUCCCCUGUCAUCCAUGUCUUAGAGCAUGAGAAGGUAAGCCGGUGAACUGAAACAUCUAAGUAGCCGGAGGAGAAGAAAUCAAACGAGAUACCCCAAGUAGCGGCGAGCGAACGGGGCAGAAGCCCAAACCGGAGAAGGAAACUUCACCGGGGUUGAGGACCGUCAGAGCUUAAGAAGAAGUUAGCCGAAACGCCUGGGAAGGCGUGCCGAAGACAGUGAGAGCCUGGUAGGCGAAAACGGAAACUUAGGAGACGGAAUCCAGAGUACCGCGGGACACGAGAAACCCCGUGGGAAGCAGGGGGGACCACCCUCCAAGGCAAAACACAGAUAUCGACCGAUAGCGCAUAGUACCGUGAGGGAAAGGUGAAAAGCACCCCGGGAGGGGAGUGAAAGAGAACCUGAAACCGUAUGUUUACAAGCAGUCGGAGACCGUAUAUAUACCAGGUCGACGGCGUGCCUAUUGAAGAAUGAACCAGCGAGUUACGAGGACCGGCAAGGUUAAGCAGGAAAUGCGGAGCCGAAGCGAAAGCGAGUCUUAAUAGGGCGAGAGUCGGAAUGCGUAGACCCGAAACCACAGUGAUCUACCCAUGUCCAGGCUGAAACACAGGUAAAAAUGUGCGGAGGGCCGAACCUAUAUCUGUUGAAAAAGGUUAGGAUGAGGUGUGGGUAGGGGUGAAAUUCCAAUCGAACGUGGAGAUAGCUGGUUCUCCCCGAAAUAGCUUUAGGGCUAGCCUCAGGUGGUGAUUACAGGCGGUAGAGCACUGAUCAGGAGAGGGACCUACCCGGUUACCAAACCCAGUCAAACUCCGAAUGGCUGUAAUCAAACCUGGGAGUCAGACUACGACUUAUAAGGGCCGUGGUCAAGAGGGAAACAGCCCAGAUCAUCAGCUAAGGUCCCAAAUGCCGUGCUAAGUGGCGAAGGAUGUGGCGUUUCAUAAACAACCAGGAUGUUGGCUCAGAAGCAGCCACCAUUCAAAGAGUGCGUAAUAGCUCACUGGUCGAGAGACGCUGCGCCGAAGAUGUCCGGGGCUCAAGCACGGAACCGAAGCUAUGGCAGAUUGCUUGCAAUCUGGGUAGGGGAGCGUUCUUAUCACGGAGAAGCGGUACCGUAAGGAGCCGUGGAGAGGUAAGAAGUGAGAAUGCUGGUAUGAGUAUCGAAAAGGCUGGUGAGAAUCCAGCCCACCGAAAGCCCGAGGGUUCCUGAGCAACGAUCGUCGUCUCAGGGUAAGUCGGGACCUAAGCCGAGGCAAAGACGCAUAGGCGAUGGAGAACAGGUUGAAAUUCCUGUACCGGAGCAGUCCGUCUGAGUGAAGGAGUGACGCAGCAGGGCACACGAGCAUGCGGUUGGAAGAGCAUGUCUAAGCCCGUAGCCCGUAUGGCAGGGAAAUCCGCCAUACAGAAGGGUGAGAGGUGAUGGGGAGUUAAAGGCAACUUUGACGAACUCGUGAAUCCCACACUGCCAAGAAAAGCUUCUAGCGAGGACUGAUCCGCCCGUACCGUAAACCGACACAGGUAGGCAGGGAGAGAAUCCUAAGGUGCGCGGGAAAACCCUCGUUAAGGAACUCGGCAAAUUGCAUCCGUAACUUCGGAAGAAGGAUGGCCCUGAGUAGGCGAAGAGUCAAGCACUUGGAACCGGAAAGGGCGGCAGAAAAGAGGCCCAAGCAACUGUUUACCAAAAACACAGGUGCCUGCGAAAGCGAAAGCUGACGUAUAGGUGCUGACGCCUGCCCGGUGCUGGAAGGUUAAGGAGAGAGGUUAGCGCAAGCGAAGCUUUGAAUUGAAGCCCCAGUGAACGGCGGCCGUAACUAUAACGGUCCUAAGGUAGCGAAAUUCCUUGUCGGGUAAGUUCCGACCUGCACGAAUGGUGU